RNAcentral lists this unclassified non-coding RNA (316 nucleotides) under plant metagenome. RNAcentral's name for it is "partial contains 5.8S ribosomal RNA, internal transcribed spacer 2, and large subunit ribosomal RNA". The stretch from base 1 to 105 matches the Rfam family "5.8S ribosomal RNA", at positions 50 to 154 of the family's 154-position model. The record is from RNAcentral.
GAAAUGCGAUAACUAGUGUGAAUUGCAGAAUUCCGUGAAUCAUCGAGUCUUUGAACGCACAUUGCGCCCCCUGGUAUUCCGGGGGGCAUGCCUGUCCGAGCGUCAUUGCUGCCCAUCAAGCACGGCUUGUGUGUUGGGUCGUCGUCCCCUCUCCGGGGGGGACGAGCCCCAAAGGCAGCGGCGGCACCGCGUCCGAUCCUCGAGCGUAUGGGGCUUUGUCACCCGCUCUGUAGGCCCGGCCGGCGCUUGCCGAACGCAAAUCAAUCUUUUUCCAGGUUGACCUCGGAUCAGGUAGGGAUACCCGCUGAACUUAAGC